This is a long non-coding RNA of Onychostoma macrolepis, 4099 nucleotides long. RefSeq lists it as uncharacterized. NCBI's taxonomy places the organism in Eukaryota, Metazoa, Chordata, Actinopteri, Cypriniformes, Cyprinidae. The record is from RefSeq and is a predicted model, not a curated record. The transcript is spliced from 4 exons.
CAACACAAGGACUGACCAGCAGGAAGCUCCGUUUCUCGCUGCUGUUUUUACUGUUUUCGAAGAAAAACGAAAACACUGCAACAUGGGAGGCUCCAAGAUUUCACAAUUUCUGAAGGGAGCCGCAGACGGAGAAGUAAGGAACACAAGUGAACAGGUGAAGCUUCUUAAUUUUAAGAGGGCUUUGACAUCCACAAGUAAGAAGUAUGAGCAAUAUUAAAUAAGUAAACCUAGAAGCAAAUUAUGUUAAAAAAAUAUUUUCUGUAUAUUCUUCUUUCUCUUUUCUACAUUUCACCUGCUCUAGCUUGGUUCCUUGUAAUAAACCUGGCUGGCAUUGUAUACUAAAUAUUGUUGUCUCUGUGACAAAUUGCUUGUUAUAUUCCUACAUUCUUCCAUGUUGAUGGCCUGCACCCCAGACUUAGAGCGGACCUCCUGUCGGACAACAUCUCCUAGGCACAAUGAACCAUAUGGCUAAUGCUCACAAAGGCUCAAUUUAUUAAAAAAAAUGCUGAUUUAAAAAAAACAGUAAAAACAGUAAUACUGUGAAAUAUUAUUACAAAUUAAAAUAGCUGUUUUCUGUGUGAAUAUAUUGUAAAAUGUAAUUUUUUCCUGUGAUCAAAGCUGAAUUUUCAGCAUCAUUACUCCAGUCUUCGGUGUCACAUGAUCCUUCAGAAAUUAUUCUAAUAUACUGAUUUGCUCCUCAAGACACAUUUCUGAUUAUUAUCAAUGUUGAAAACAGUUGUGCUGCACAAUAUUUUUGUGCGUGUUUUUUUUUCUUCAGGAUUCUUUGAUGAAUAGAAAUUUCAAAAGAACAGCAUUAGUUGAAACAAAACUUUACACUCGUUUUUGAUCAAUUUAAUGCAUCCUUGCGGAAUAAAACUAGAAUUUCCUAAUAAAAAAUUUAUGUAACGUGACAGAAAAAAAAACACGGUAACACCAGUGACAUACAUUAGACCAAAGAUCCUUAUUCUUCAGCUAUAAUUAAUAGAUGAGACUAAAUUGUUACAUUCGGCAUACAUUUGGCAUUUAGUGAAAGCAGUUAGUAAAAGAACAUAAAUGUAAACUGAUCUUCACUGGUGUUACCCAUAAGGAAGGUAACACCAGUGACAGUAACACCAGUGACAGAUUUCAUGAAAAAUGCAUUUUACAAAAUGUCUGCUGCAAGAUAUCAAACCACUUGUUGUCAAUCAUAGUAUACUCACUCACUAAAUUAAGUAGUUUAAUCCAUUUGUAUUCUAUUUUUUUUACAUUUCCCUAACAAUAAAGUAGGUCACACCAGUGACUUCAACUAAAAGCCUCAUAUGAAAUCAUGAGAAAAAAUGAGAAAAUUUCUGAUAACUGAAAAGAUACAGUGCAUUAAACAUCAUAGGCCUUUCUUCAAAGAUCUUCAGGAAAUGGGAAGAAGGAAGUCAAGUGAUGUCAUCAGUGUGAUUUUUAUUUCAAAAUAAAUGUUUUUUGUUAAACGGUAACACCAGUGACACAACUCCAAAUUACAUUUUAACAUAUUCACACAGAAAACAUCUCAUAACCUUGCACUUCAGUUAUAUGUGAUGAAAUAAAUAAUCUUUUGUCUGAAAUAAUAUGAACAGCAGCUAUUCUAAUCUUUCUCCUUUUGGUUUCCUGUUUAUAUCUCGGGAUGUCCAUCCCAAGGUUACUAGAGAUUACACCAGUUCCAGUUUGGAUCCAGCCUGGCGUGUGAAGACUUCAGAAGACGCUAGCACUCACAAAGACUUCAGAUGAUGGCAACUAGAUAAACAUACAAAGCUGCCAAAUAAUCCUUAUAUUGUAAUCAUUGCCCUAAAAGGGAGGAACUUGUCAACAAAUCUACCUCACAGCGCAUCAAUGAAAGCAGUUUGACAAUUACAGACGGGUGUGUUGGAUCAGGGUUAGAUCUGAAUUCUGCAGGUUUUCUGGAUUCCCAGUUGAAGACAUCAGUACAUCAGAUGUUGGCCUGGACAGCUGUAUCUACAGUACACCACACUGACCUCUCUGCUUUUGCAUAGAUGGCUGACUACUACCAUGUUCUAUAGUAUUAUUGGUAUUAUGUUCUAAGGUAUUAUUAUAGUAAAACUGAGCACCUGUGACAGUGGAAUUUGUAGUUGUAAAGAAUAGACACAUGCGUAUUACAGGUAGUAAAUUUAAAGUCACAGAGAAAAGGGUUUUUGUUUUUUUAGGAGUUCCAAAUGUUUUUUCUUACUCUUUCUCUUUAACAAACACAACACAACAGUUACAUCAUUUAAAAUGCUGAGGUGCACAAAUCAUAUUCUACAAAUAACAAAUUAAGAAACUCAUGUGAAUGAACAAAUUCAUAUCAUGAACUAAUUUUGCACAUUUGCAUAUAUACAGUCAUAGUCAGAAUUAUUGACACCCUUGGUAAAUAUGAACAAAGAAGCCUGUGAAAAAUAAAUCUGCAUUGUCAAUCCUUUUUGAUAAAAGAUCAAAAAGGGGGUGGGGGGAAGCUCAUUAGGAGUAUUUUUUCUCUCUAAUACACAUUGGCCACAGUUAAUGGCACCCUUUUAUUCAGUACUUUUUGCAAUCUCCUUUUGCCACAAUAACAGCUCUGAGUCUCUCCUAUAAUGCUUGGUGAGUUUGGAGCUCACCUGACAAGAGAUCUUUGGAGUCGUUGGCCACUCAAACUAUCCUCCUCACCUUGUAUAUAGACAAUAUAGACACACAUCCUCUUCCAGGCAGAUCUGUGACAUUUUAAACAGUACAAAUUUAUUUUUACAGGCUUCUUUGAUCAUAUUUACUAAGGGUGCCAAUAAUUCUGACCACGACUGUAAGAAUGAGAACUUAUAUGUGAGAUUUCACAUGACAUAUCAGAAUGUGAGAUCCCACUUGCACGCUUGAUUAGAAUUUGAAAUUCGAUCAAACUGAAUAGAAUAGAAUUGAACUGAAUACAAUUGGUAAGUGAUACCAUUAAUUGGUCAGGUGUUGAUAAAAAAAGAUGUGUCUUUAGACAUUUUUUGAAAAUGGCUAAAGACUCAAAGCUAAAGCUGCUUGAAUUGAGAUAAGGAGGUCAUUCCAACAUGAACUUAUCUACAAAUACCACAGUUAAAUUCUGGAAAAAUUAAAUAGAUCCCCGCAUUUGUGAUUUGAAGAAUAGGAUUUAUGCACCUGCAAUGAAGAUUUUGAGAAGGUUAUGUUGGUUUGUGAGAGAGAAAGAAACAAAAUAUAAUUUUGCAACUCCUAAAACAUUUACUUGAUGACUGUACUGAAAUAUUCUCUACAAAUACACAUUCCAUACUGUAGGUGCUCAGUUUUUCUACAAUAAUUCUAGACACAAUAGAUGUACUGUAUGCAAAUAUAAAAAAAGGACAUAACUGAAUAUUCAGGGAAAAUAAAAGAAUUCUUGAUAAUCUUUAAAAUGAGAGAAUCACUGACACAUUAGGCUUCUUUCUUCGACUGCAGAAAAAACGAAACUAUUAAAAUGUGCUAAGUGCCCUUGAAAGGUAUCAUUACGCCGUUUGGAACCGUAAGGCCAGUUUAUGAAUUGGAGGUAAAGAUAAUUUGCAACACAACUUAAUAUAGACUUUUAAACUAGUCAUCACCAGUAGGCUACUAUGCAAUCUCUUGACAUUGAACAGUUAUAAAAUGAUUUAGGACAACACUGUGUGAAGACCAAACUUUAGUCGUAGCAAGGUAAUUGCGACUUAGUGGCAGCGUAAAUAAGUUAACCAUAAUACGUGACUGCAACGUAAUUUGACGACCAAACUUUCGUUGUGACAACGUAACUAGUUACGUUGUGACAACCGGAAAAGUGAAAUUCCUGGAUACGUUGCUACAACAUAACUUUGUGACGUUGUCAGUUAGUAAUGAGGACGUUCUGACAACGUUGAGGAUCACUGGUUAUCUUACGUGGCACAUUUUCAGUAGAUUCUUAUGCCUUCGUUUCUCUUUUUUUUAAAGACUAGCCUUGUAACACUUAACUCUUAUUUAAAAGUUAAAAUGAAAACGACUAACCUGUUCUUUUGUUGUUUCUUUAGGAUCGCUGCCAGUAGACCUACCUGUAGAAAUAGAGUUCUAUGUUCUGUUCCAUUUCUAUUAAUAUAAUAAUGUGUACUGUUUUCAAAAACAAAAUAAAAGAGCUGGAUUUGCCUAA